AUCCGGAUGACGAGACCCAAAUAGGACGAAAUGCGCAUCCUGGAU
Non-coding RNA from Trichobilharzia regenti, 45 nucleotides. The record is from Rfam. NCBI's taxonomy places the organism in Eukaryota, Metazoa, Platyhelminthes, Trematoda, Strigeidida, Schistosomatidae.